UACGUAGGGUCCGAGCGUUGUCCGGAAUUACUGGGCGUAAAGAGCUCGUAGGUGGUUUGUCGCGUUGUUCGUGAAAACUCACAGCUCAACUGUGGGCGUGCGGGCGAUACGGGCAGACUUGAGUACUGCAGGGGAGACUGGAAUUCCUGGUGUAGCGGUGGAAUGCGCAGAUAUCAGGAGGAACACCGGUGGCGAAGGCGGGUCUCUGGGCAGUAACUGACGCUGAGGAGCGAAAGCCAGGGGAGCGAACGGG
RNAcentral lists this ribosomal RNA (253 nucleotides) under uncultured bacterium. RNAcentral's name for it is "partial 16S ribosomal RNA". It matches the Rfam family "Bacterial small subunit ribosomal RNA", at positions 524 to 776 of the family's 1533-position model. The record is from RNAcentral.